This 408-nucleotide ribosomal RNA is filed under the name uncultured bacterium. Its description in RNAcentral is "bacterial SSU rRNA". It matches the Rfam family "Bacterial small subunit ribosomal RNA", at positions 929 to 1338 of the family's 1533-position model. The record is from RNAcentral.
CCCGGGUCUUGUACACACCGAGGCGGGGGCAUAACGCGAAGAACCUUACCUAGACUUGACACCCCUGAAUUACCUGUAAUGAGGAAGUCCCGUUCGGGGACAGGGAGACAGGUGGUGCAUGGUUGUCGUCAGCUCGUGUCGUGAGAUGUUGGGUUAACGUCCCGACAACGAGCGCCAACCCUAUUGUUAGUUGCUACGACAAGAGCACUCUAGCGAGACUGCCGUUGAACAAACGGAGGAAGGUGGGACGACGUCAAAUCAUCAUCGCCCCUUUAUGUCCUGGGCCACACACGUAAUACAAUGGCGUUAAACAGAGGGAUGCGAAGCCGUGAGGUGGAGCGAACCCUAAAAGGCGUCUCAGUUCGGAUCGCAGGCUGCAACCCGCCUGCGUGAAGUCGGAAUCGCUAG